This 492-nucleotide ribosomal RNA is filed under the name uncultured bacterium. RNAcentral describes it as "partial 16S ribosomal RNA". It matches the Rfam family "Bacterial small subunit ribosomal RNA", at positions 29 to 507 of the family's 1533-position model. The record is from RNAcentral.
AGUGAACGCUGGCGGUAGGCCUAACACAUGCAAGUCGAACGGCAGCACAGUAAGAGCUUGCUCUUACGGGUGGCGAGUGGCGGACGGGUGAGGAAUACAUCGGAAUCUACUUUUUCGUGGGGGCUAACGUAGGGAAACUUACGCUAAUACCGCAUACGACCUACGGGUGAAAGCAGGGGAUCUUCGGACCUUGCGCGAUUGAAUGAGCCGAUGUCGGAUUAGCUAGUUGGCGGGGUAAAGGCCCACCAAGGCGACGAUCCGUAGCUGGUCUGAGAGGAUGAUCAGCCACACUGGAACUGAGACACGGUCCAGACUCCUACGGGAGGCAGCAGUGGGGAAUAUUGGACAAAGGGCGCAAGCCUGAUCCAGCCAUACCGCGUGGGUGAAGAAGGCCUUCGGGUUGUAAAGCCCUGUUGUUGGGAAAGAAAAGCAGCAGGUUAAUACCCCGCUGUUCUGACGGUACCCAAAGAAUAAGCACCGGCUAACUUCGUG